GAUCAAGUAAUUAAGCGCACAAGGUGGAUGCCUUGGCAGUAGAAGGCGAUGAAAGACGUGAUAGCCUGCGAAAAGCUUCGGGGAGCUGGCAAUGAGCAUUGAUCCGGAGAUAUCUGAAUGGGGAAACCCGCCGUACGAAGGUGCGGCAUGGCAACUUGAAUACAUAGAGUUGUUAAGCGAACCUGGAGAACUGAAACAUCUCAGUACCCAGAGGAAAAGAAAUCAACCGAGAUUUCCUGAGUAGUGGCGAGCGAAAGGGAAAGAGCCCAGUUAUCAGAGACGAAUAGGUUUAAGAGAACGGUGUGGAAACGCCGGCCGUAGAGGGUGAUAGCCCCGUAUUUAAAAAACCUGUUUGAGGAGAUGACGACGAGUAGGUCGGGACACGUGAAAUCCUGAUUGAAGAUGGGGGGACCAUCCUCCAAGGCUAAAUACUCUCUACUGACCGAUAGUGAACAAGUACCGUGAGGGAAAGGCGAAAAGAACCCCGGAGAGGGGAGUGAAAGAGAUCCUGAAACCGUGUGCGUACAAGCAGUCGGAGCGGAGGCAACUCUGUGACGGCGUACCUUUUGUAUAAUGGGUCAGCGAGUUACUUGCGUUGGCGAGCUUAACUGAAUAAGGAAGGCGAAGGGAAACCGAGUCUGAAAAGGGCGUUAAGUCGGCGUGAGUAGACCCGAAACCGGGCGAUCUAUCCAUGACCAGGAUGAAGGUUAGGUAACACUGACUGGAGGUCCGAACCCACUCCUGUUGAAAAAGUAGGGGAUGAGUUGUGGAUAGGAGUGAAAGGCUAAUCAAGCUCGGAGAUAGCUGGUUCUCCUCGAAAGCUAUUGAGGUAGUGCCUUGUGUGGUCAUUCUUGGGGGUAGAGCACUGUGCCGGCUAGGGGGUCUUGAUAGGCUUACCAACCCGAUGCAAACUACGAAUACCGAGAAAUGCAGCACAGGAGACACACGGCGGGUGAUAAGGUCCGUCGUGAAGAGGGAUACAGCCCAGACCGACAGCUAAGGUCCCGAAGAGAUGGUUAAGUGGGAAACGAUGUGAGAAGUCCGAGACAGCCAGGAGGUUGGCUUAGAAGCAGCCAUCCUUUAAAGAAAGCGUAAUAGCUCACUGGUCGAGUCGGCUUGCGCGGAAGAUGUAACGGGGCUAAAACCAUCCACCGAAGCUACGGGUUCAUAUGUCAAAAUAUGAGCGGUAGAGGAGCGUUCUGUAGGCCGAUGAAGGUGCAUUGAGAAGUGUGCUGGAGGUAUCAGAAGCGCGAAUGCUGACAUGAGUAACGAUAAUGCGGGUGAAAAACCCGCACGCCGAAAGUCCCAGGAUUCCUGCGCCACGUUAAUCGGCGCAGGGUGAGUCGGCCCCUAAGGCGAGGCGGAAACGCGUAGUCGAUGGGAAACGGGUUAAUAUUCCCGUACUUGAUUGUGUUGCGAAGUGAUGACGGAGAAAGCUAGGUCGUGCCGGGUGUUGGAAGUCCCGGUUAAAGUGAGUAGGAAGGAAUUCUAGGGAAAUCCGGAGUUCUAUUAAUUCUGAGACAUGAAAACGAUUAACCGUAAAGGUUGAGAAGACGCCGAUGCUAAGCUUCCAGGAAAAGUUGCUAAGCAUAAACACGAUUGAACCGUACCGGAAACCGACACAGGUGGACAAGUAGAGAAUACUAAGGCGUUUGAGAGAACUAGGGUGAAGGAACUAGGCAAAAUAGCACCGUAACUUCGGGAGAAGGUGUGCCUCUGUUAGAUGAAGGCCUUUACGGUUGGAGUUGAGAGAGGUUGCAAUAGUCAGGUGGUUGCGACUGUUUAAUAAAAACACAGCACUCUGCGAACUCGGAAGAGGAAGUAUAGGGUGUGACGCCUGCCCGGUGCCGGAAGGUUAAUUGAUGGGGUAAGCAGCAAUGCGAAGCUCUUGAUCGAAGCCCCGGUAAACGGCGGCCGUAACUAUAACGGUCCUAAGGUAGCGAAAUUCCUUGUCGGGUAAGUUCCGACCUGCACGAAUGGCGUAACGACAGCCACGCUGUCUCCAUCCUAGGCUCAGUGAAGUUGAAAUUGCUGUGAAGAUGCAGUGUACCCGCGGCAAGACGGAAAGACCCCGUGCACCUUUACUAUAGCUUUGCACUGAACUUUGAGAUUGCCUGUGUAGGAUAGGUGGGAGGCGAAGAAGUUAUGGCGCUAGCCAUGAUGGAGCCGACGUUGAAAUACCACCCUGGCAUACUCGGAGUUCUAACCUGGUCCCCUGAACGGGGAUGGGAACAGUGCAUGGUGGGUAGUUUGACUGGGGCGGUCUCCUCCUAAAGAGUAACGGAGGAGCACGAAGGUACCCUCAGCGCGGUCGGAAAUCGCGCGUAGCGUGUAAGAGCGAAAGGGUGCUUGACUGAGAGACAGACAUGUCGAUCAGGUGCGAAAGCAGGUUCUAGUGAUCCGGUGGUUCUGAAUGGAAGGGCCAUCGCUCAACGGAUAAAAGGUACGCCGGGGAUAACAGGCUGAUACCGCCCAAGAGUUCAUAUCGACGGCGGUGUUUGGCACCUCGAUGUCGGCUCAUCACAUCCUGGGGCUGAAGCAGGUCCCAAGGGUAUGGCUGUUCGCCAUUUAAAGUGGUACGCGAGCUGGGUUUAGAACGUCGUGAGACAGUUCGGUCCCUAUCUGCCGUGGGCGUUAGAGAUUUGAGGGGAGCUGCUCCUAGUACGAGAGGACCGGAGUGGACGUACCGCUGGUGAAUCGGUUGUCAUGCCAAUGGCACGGCCGAGUAGCUAAGUACGGAAAGGAUAACCGCUGAAAGCAUCUAAGCGGGAAGCCAGCCCCGAGAUGAGAUCUCUCGAGCCGCAAGGCUCCUAAAGGUUUGUUGAAGACUACAACGUUGAUAGGCGGGGAGUGGAAGUGCAGUAAUGCAUGUAGCUUACCCGUACUAAUUGACCGUGAGGCUUGAUCAU
Gammaproteobacteria bacterium SCGC AG-212-F23 is the source of this 2909-nucleotide ribosomal RNA. It matches the Rfam family "Bacterial large subunit ribosomal RNA". The record is from Rfam. NCBI's taxonomy places the organism in Bacteria, Pseudomonadati, Pseudomonadota, Gammaproteobacteria.